UGUAUGAAAAACUUUUAUGGGUACACUUAAAAUCAUGUUAUAUUGUGUGCAUCUNGUUUCCUUAUUACCAUGUAUGAAUUACAAUAUUUUGUGGGAUGCUUAUCUACACUCUUUGACCAAGAGUGUGGGUAGGAGGGUAUUGAGAGUUCUCUCCCAUUAUUGGAAGAGAAAAGAGUGAGUUAUGAGUAUGAGAGGAGUGAAAGUGAUGUUGUUGUGAGAUGGGGUAUAUGGGGUUGAUGAAAGUAAUGAAGAAAGAAGAAGCUUGAUGUCAUUGGAGUAAGAAGAACAUGAAGGGGAAGGAGUGUUGGGAUGUUGCAGCGUGAAAGAAACAUGUUGAGAGUGAGAAAGAGAAUGGAGUUUUGUUUUGUAUUGAAAAAGAAGAAAAAAAAGGAUGGGAAUGCAUGGAAAGUGUGUAAGUGAGGAUAAAGCACACCGGAAAGCCUCGUGUUGAUGUGUGGGGGCAGUCAGCAGUCCCUGUAAGUUGCCGGGGCGUUACAAAUGGUAUCAGAGUCUAGCCUCUCCCAGUACGGUGUGGUUCGAGGACGAAUCGGAAGGAAGCUGGUGGGCAUGUGACACCCGGGCACU
RNAcentral lists this long non-coding RNA (585 nucleotides) under Vigna radiata. RNAcentral's name for it is "long non-coding RNA (VRAD_LNC002664)". The record is from RNAcentral. Lineage: Eukaryota; Viridiplantae; Streptophyta; Magnoliopsida; Fabales; Fabaceae.